GGUAAGGUGGCUGAGUUUAAGCGGUGGAUUGUAGCUCCAUGUACAGAGGUUUAAUUCCUCUCUUUAUCA
Molecule: transfer RNA, 69 nt
Filed under: Bathylychnops exilis (javelin spookfish)
Lineage: Eukaryota; Metazoa; Chordata; Actinopteri; Argentiniformes; Opisthoproctidae
Description: tRNA-Tyr
Rfam family: tRNA
About the family: Transfer RNA (tRNA) molecules are approximately 80 nucleotides in length.
Source: RNAcentral